GUCACUGACCCAUUUCCACUGCUGCUCUCUCAUCUGCUGCUCUGAAGCCUAAACCAUGGUGCCCAGAAUCUUCGAUGCAACUCAUGAGAAGCUGGAGGACCUGGAGAAGCUGGCAACUCAAAAAGGCCAAAGGGUGCAGACAAUAAAAGCCCCAGACAAGCGUAUAGAACCACACGCCGUCUUUUUACUUGCCGACUGCCAUAAUCAAGGGCACCAGAGGGGUGGCUUGAACAGGAGAAAUUCAGUUCCUCACAGUUCUGGAAGCCAGAAGUAUGAGAUCAAGGUGUUGGCAGGAUGGUUUCUUCUGAGGGUCUAUCUCUUGGCUUAUCCAUGGCCAACUCCUCCCUGUGUCUUCACAUGGCCUCUGUGUGUGUGUCUGUGCCCUAAUAUCCUCUUCUUAUAGGGACACCAGUCAGCUUGGAUUAGGUCCUGCUCAUAUGACCUCAUUUUACCGUAAUCGCCUUUUCAAAGACCUUAUCUCCAAAUACAGUUAUAUUCAGAGAUACUGGGGUUAGGACUUCAACACAUGAAUUUUGCGGGAGACAUAGGUCAUCCCAUAUUAAUGCCCAAACAAAAUUUAUUACUUCACAUAGUCAUGCCCCAAAUGAAAAUUAAACAACCCAAAAUUAAAUAGAAUUUUUAAAUUUCAUCAUUUCUUUAUUAUUAUUAUUAUUAUUUUUUGAGAUGGAGUCUCACUCUGUUGCCCAGGCUGGAGGACAGUGGCAUGAUCUCAGCUCACUACCAGCGCCACCUCCUGGGUUCAUGCCAUUCUCCUGCCUCAGCUCCUGAGUAGCUGGGACUACAGGCGCCCGCCACCACACCCGGCUCCUUUUUUGUAUUUUUAGUAGAGACGGGGUUUCACCAUGUUAGCCAGAAUGGUCUUGAUCUCCUGACCUCGUGAUCUGCCUGCCUCAGCCUCCCAAAGUACUGGGAUUACAGGCAUGAGCCACCAUGCCCAGCCGAUUUCUUUGUUUCUUUUUUUUUUUUUUACUAUUAAUGUUAUUUUUUAUGAGAGAGAGCACGCCAAGUAUUGCUAUAAAUAUUAGGAUUAAUUCUAUUGAUGUGCUUCAUGAUCAUGUAUAUUUUAUGAAGAUUUAUUAGAUCAAAAAUUACAAGAUUUAUCUUAAAGUAAUCACUCUUAUAUUAACUGUAUAUUUUAGCACUGUUUUUAUCUAUUGGAAUAUUUUCAUAGCUAUAGUUAUUAAAAUUCACCAUAAUCAUUAAUUAGAGCCAUAAUUACACUUUUAUAAUAAAUAUACAUUUAUACUUUAACCGAUGGAUAAAACAUCAACCUAAAUAUCCAAAAGGAAAUUUUUAAUCAAGUGACUUCUAGGAGGGUGUCUGUUCUGACGGUGGCUAUUCAGGAACAAAGAGCAAAUCUGAAGAAAAGGCCUGGUUCCCACUCUGGCCACACCUGUUGCCACACUGAUGGGAUGUGCUGAUCACAGCAAGAUCACAGUCAGGAUAAGUGUGGGGCCAGCAAUGGCCUUGCUCAAGGCACUUUGUGCUUAGGACACGUGACAGCCUGUGUGGUGUGUGUGUGUGUGUGUGUGCGUGUGUGUGUGUGUGUGUUUGCUUCUGUUUUUCUGUGGGUAAAUACAUGACCCAGAAAUUUCUCAAAAUAAGUUUAUUCUUACUACAUAAGAUCCACUCCAUCACAGCUCUUUGUGUUCUGCUUUCUUGUUUAUUGGAUACCUCUUCAGGCCCAGGGCGGCUCAUGGAGGAGACAGGGACUCUCCCCAGGUCGAAGGCCCAAGGCCUGGAUGAUGGGGUGGGGCCCAGGAUGGGUGCCAGGGGUCUGGAGGACAUGAGUGGAUGAAGGCCCCGGGCUUCAGCUUCCUCUUGGUGGAAUGUGGGUGAUGAGGUCCGACCAUGCAGCGCUGCUGUGAGGACCGGAUGAGAGGAUCCCUGGGAGGUGGCCGGUGACUUGGUACCGUCACCUCAGUGACUGUUCUUCGUCCUCAUGGAUGUUCAGAGAAGACUUGCCCACUCUCUCCACCAGAUACAACCAAUAAAACCUCUGAAAAUUUCAGCCGAACUUUAUAGCACUUUCAUUCUUUUCCAAUUUAUUUGACGCUAUUUAAAUCAGACCUAGUGAUUCUGGGAUGCCUGAGAUUCCUGUCCCUUAGAAGGGACGUCAGGUGCCUUCUGUGCGCACACGUGGCAUUUGGGCGGGAACCCAGAGCCCCGACUCUGGGCUUGUUGGACUGAGAUCCAAGGAGGGAUUCACUACAUUGGUGUAAGGUGCGGUCUGUGUUUCAGAUUCUUGUGCCAGAUGAGGUGAUGCUUUGAUGUCAAUACCUCGUGUUGGGGGAAGGUUGGGGAUCUGGACCAGUGGUCUAGGGGGCCUGUAUGGGGCAGGACCCAGACACCUGAGGAUUCCAGGUUUAAGAAGGGCGGGGCUGAGCGAGG
Molecule: long non-coding RNA, 2412 nt
Filed under: Homo sapiens (human)
Lineage: Eukaryota; Metazoa; Chordata; Mammalia; Primates; Hominidae
Description: HSALNT0398305
Source: RNAcentral